RNAcentral lists this ribosomal RNA (696 nucleotides) under uncultured Actinomycetes bacterium. Its description in RNAcentral is "bacterial SSU rRNA". It matches the Rfam family "Bacterial small subunit ribosomal RNA", at positions 64 to 776 of the family's 1533-position model. The record is from RNAcentral. Lineage: Bacteria; Bacillati; Actinomycetota; Actinomycetes.
GAGCGGAAAGGCCACUUCGGUGGUACUCGAGCGGCGAACGGGUGAGUAACACGUGAGUAAUCUGCCCCUGGCUUCGGGAUAGCCACCGGAAACGGUGAUUAAUACCGGAUAUGACAGACCCUCGCAUGGGGGUGUGUGGAAAGUUUUUCGGCCAGGGAUGUGCUCGCGGCCUAUCAGCUUGAUGGUGAGGUAAUGGCUCACCAUGGCUUCGACGGGUAGCCGGCCUGAGAGGGUGACCGGCCACACUGGGACUGAGACACGGCCCAGACUCCUACGGGAGGCAGCAGUGGGGAAUAUUGGACAAUGGGCGGAAGCCUGAUCCAGCAACGCCGCGUGAGGGAUGACGGCCUUCGGGUUGUAAACCUCUUUCAGUACCGACGAAGCGCAAGUGACGGUAGGUACAGAAGAAGCACCGGCCAACUACGUGCCAGCAGCCGCGGUAAUACGUAGGGUGCGAGCGUUGUCCGGAAUUAUUGGGCGUAAAGGGCUCGUAGGCGGUUUGUCGCGUCGGGAGUGAAAACGCCGUGCUUAACACGGCGCUUGCUUCCGAUACGGGCAGACUAGAGGUAUUCAGGGGAGAACGGAAUUCCUGGUGUAGCGGUGAAAUGCGCAGAUAUCAGGAGGAACACCGGUGGCGAAGGCGGUUCUCUGGGAAUGACCUGACGCUGAGGAGCGAAAGUGUGGGGAGCGAACAGG